AGGGAGUAAUCUGAAAAUCCAUAAGAGUAGGAA
RNAcentral lists this non-coding RNA (33 nucleotides) under unclassified sequences. RNAcentral describes it as "DUF805b RNA". It matches the Rfam family "DUF805b RNA". From Rfam's summary of the family: Bacteroidetes, Chlorobi (1 example), Proteobacteria. The record is from RNAcentral.